GACGGGGGAUGCAAGCGUUAUCCGGAAUGAUUGGGCGUAAAGGGUCCGCAGGUGGCCCGGUCAGUCCGCUGUCAAAGCCUGGGGGCUCAACCCUGGAGAGGCGGCGGAGACCACCGGGCUUGAGUCCGGUAGGGGGCAGAGGGAAUUCCCGGUGGAGCGGUGAAAUGCGUAGAUAUCUGGAGGAACACCGGUGGCGAAGGCGGCAUCCUGGACCGGCAUUGACGCUGAGGGCGCGAAAAGCCAGGGGGAGCCAAAACGGG
Molecule: ribosomal RNA, 260 nt
Filed under: uncultured bacterium
Lineage: Bacteria
Description: partial 16S ribosomal RNA
Rfam family: Bacterial small subunit ribosomal RNA
Source: RNAcentral